AGUGAACGCUGGCGGUAGGCCUAACACAUGCAAGUCGAACGGCAGCACAGUAAGAGCUUGCUCUUACGGGUGGCGAGUGGCGGACGGGUGAGGAAUACAUCGGAAUCUACUUUUUCGUGGGGGAUAACGUAGGGAAACAUACGCUAAUACCGCAUACGACCUACGGGUGAAAGCAGGGGAUCUUCGGACCUUGCGUGAUUGAAUGAGCCGAUGUCGGAUUAGCUAGUUGGCGGGGUAAAGGCCCACCAAGGCGACGAUCCGUAGCUGGUCUGAGAGGAUGAUCAGCCACACUGGAACUGAGACACGGUCCAGACUCCUACGGGAGGCAGCAGUGGGGAAUAUUGGACAAUGGGCGCAAGCCUGAUCCAGCCAUACCGCGUGGGUGAAGAAGGCCUUCGGGUUGUAAAGCCCUUUUGUUGGGAAAGAAAAGCAGCAGGUUAAUACCCCGCUGUUCUGACGGUACCCAAAGAAUAAGCACCGGCUAACUUCGUG
This 492-nucleotide ribosomal RNA is filed under the name uncultured bacterium. RNAcentral describes it as "partial 16S ribosomal RNA". It matches the Rfam family "Bacterial small subunit ribosomal RNA", at positions 29 to 507 of the family's 1533-position model. The record is from RNAcentral.